ACUAUUAACCACCUCACUGAGGUGAUCUGUAGUCCAGCUGGUCGCUUGAGGACAGAAUCUGGGAGGUGCCUGAAGUCUUCACAUUGGAUCCUCAUCACCUUGAAUGGUUUUGCUGGUUGUGCUUCAAGUAUCAUCUUUGAAACAUCAUCAGGUGUUUGAAGGACUGACACCUUGCGCCUCUUCUCGAUGGUGGCAAAAGAUCGAUCACAAGGAAGAAAAGAAUGACCAGAGUCCAUGAACUUCUGCACAACUUGGGUAAAGUAACCCAUAGAAACGAGCAUCCACAUCAGAUUGAGCAUCCGCCAGUUGUUAUUCUGCCCACAGCAUCUGUCACUGAAGAUGAUCAACUUGCGCACCUCUGGUUUGGAAAUUGUCCAAUUGUGUGAGAGGCAUCUAUGAGAAGCCUGACUUCACUCCAGACGGUGAAGAAAAUUCCUUGAACCUCACCUCAUACCUGGACUAUUGACUGAAUAAAGGAAAAUGUUUUCAAGUUUUUACAUUUAAGUGCUGCACUAAACCGAGAGUGAUCUCCAAUGCAGUUCGUCUUGUUUGUUCAAGUCAACCAGUGUUUGUCUCUGCCCACCUGACCACUCUGCCUGUCCCUGAGCCUGCCUGCCGUCCUGUAAAUUUGCUCCACCUCUGGAUUACUGACCUCUGCCUGACCUGACCCUGAGCCUGCCUGCCUGUCAUCCCGUACCUUGGCCUCUACUCUGGAUUAUCAACCCCUGCCUGCCUUGACCUGUCAUUUGCCUGCCCC
Oncorhynchus tshawytscha (Chinook salmon) is the source of this 757-nucleotide long non-coding RNA. The record is from Ensembl. Lineage: Eukaryota; Metazoa; Chordata; Actinopteri; Salmoniformes; Salmonidae.